Molecule: ribosomal RNA, 119 nt
Filed under: Salmo salar (Atlantic salmon)
Lineage: Eukaryota; Metazoa; Chordata; Actinopteri; Salmoniformes; Salmonidae
Source: RNAcentral
GCUUACGGCCAUACCAGCCUGGGUACGCCCGAUCUCGUCUGCUCUCGGAAGCUAAGCAGGGUCGGGCCUGGUUAGUACUUGGAUGGGAGACCGCCUGGGAAUACCAGGUGCUGUAAGCA